GUCUACGGCCAUGCCACUCUGAACAAGCCCGAUCCCAGCUGAUCUCGGAAGCUAAGCAGGGUCGCGCUUGGUUAGUGCUUGGAUGGGAGACCACCUAGGAGGACCAGGUGCUGUAGGCA
Molecule: ribosomal RNA, 119 nt
Filed under: Pteropus alecto (black flying fox)
Lineage: Eukaryota; Metazoa; Chordata; Mammalia; Chiroptera; Pteropodidae
Source: RNAcentral